GUAGGCAGCAAGCGUUGUUCGGAGUUACUGGGCGUAAAGGGUGUGUAGGCGGUUGUUUAAGUUUGGUGUGAAAUCUCCCGGCUCAACUGGGAGGGUGCGCCGAAUACUGAAUGACUUCGAGUGCGGGAGAGGAAAGUGGAAUUCCUGGUGUAGCGGUGAAAUGCGUAGAUAUCAGGAGGAACACCGGUGGUGUAGACGGCUUUCUGGACCGUAACUGACGCUGAGACACGAAAGCGUGGGUAGCAAACAGGAUUAGAUACCCUGGUAGUCCACGCCCUAAACGAUGCAUAUUUGGUGUGGGCAGUUCAUUCUGUCCGUGCCGGAGCUAACGCGUUAAAUAUGCCGCCUGGGGAGUACAGUCGCAAGGCUG
RNAcentral lists this ribosomal RNA (370 nucleotides) under uncultured bacterium. Its description in RNAcentral is "bacterial SSU rRNA". It matches the Rfam family "Bacterial small subunit ribosomal RNA", at positions 527 to 896 of the family's 1533-position model. The record is from RNAcentral.